Molecule: ribosomal RNA, 140 nt
Filed under: uncultured bacterium
Lineage: Bacteria
Description: partial 16S ribosomal RNA
Rfam family: Bacterial small subunit ribosomal RNA
Source: RNAcentral
GUGGGGAAUAUUGGGCAAUGGACGCAAGUCUGACCCAGCAACGCCGCGUGAAGGAAGAAGGCUUUCGGGUUGUAAACUUCUUUUAAGGGGGAAGAGCAGAAGACGGUACCCCUUGAAUAAGCCACGGCUAACUACGUGCC